RNAcentral lists this non-coding RNA (157 nucleotides) under Mallateleia sp. ZL-2020. The record is from RNAcentral. Lineage: Eukaryota; Metazoa; Arthropoda; Insecta; Hymenoptera; Scelionidae.
AUUUGAAUGCUGCGUUAUUUGUGUCACCGAUAAACGUUCUGCGUUUGUGAUGCAAGUUUAUACAAAACUAACAAAACGAGUAAAUUUAAAGAUGUUGCUUGUCCGUAGGUUCAUCUUUAACAAAAUUGUAACGGACUGCUCGCAGUAUAUUUUUUUU